RNAcentral lists this ribosomal RNA (500 nucleotides) under uncultured bacterium. RNAcentral's name for it is "bacterial SSU rRNA". It matches the Rfam family "Bacterial small subunit ribosomal RNA", at positions 29 to 509 of the family's 1533-position model. The record is from RNAcentral.
AACGAACGCUGGCGGCGUGCCUAACACAUGCAAGUCGAGCGCGAAAGGAGCAAUCCGAGUAGAGCGGCGCACGGGUGCGUAACACGUGGGUAAUCUGCCUCAAAGUCUGGAAUAACCUUCCGAAAGGUUGGCUAAUGCCGGAUAAGCUCACGGGGUCUUCGGACUCUGGGGGAAAAGGUGGCCUCUGUUUACAAGCUACCACUUUGAGAUGAGCCCGCGGCCCAUCAGCUAGUUGGCGGGGUAACGGCCCACCAAGGCAACGACGGGUAGCUGGUCUGAGAGGACGAUCAGCCACACUGGAACUGAGACACGGUCCAGACUCCUACGGGAGGCAGCAGUGGGGAAUUUUGCACAAUGGGCGAAAGCCUGAUGCAGCAACGCCGCGUGUGUGAUGAAGGUUUUCGGAUCGUAAAGCACUUUCGACCGGGACGAAUAAGCUUCACCUAAUACGUGAGGCCCUCGACGGUACCGGGAGAAGAAGCACCGGCUAACUCUGUGCC